Molecule: ribosomal RNA, 253 nt
Filed under: uncultured bacterium
Lineage: Bacteria
Description: partial 16S ribosomal RNA
Rfam family: Bacterial small subunit ribosomal RNA
Source: RNAcentral
UACAGAGGUCUCAAGCGUUGUUCGGAUUCAUUGGGCGUAAAGGGCGCGUAGGCGGCGGGGUAAGUCGGGUGUGAAAUCUCAGAGCUCAACUCUGAAACUGCACUCGAUACUGCUCUGCUUGAGGACUGGAGAGGAGACUGGAAUUCACGGUGUAGCAGUGAAAUGCGUAGAUAUCGCGAGGAAGACCAAUGGCGAAGGCGAGUCCCUGGACAAACCCUGACACUGAGGCACGAAAGCCAAGGGAGCAAACAGG